Molecule: transfer RNA, 74 nt
Filed under: Lachnospiraceae bacterium
Lineage: Bacteria; Bacillati; Bacillota; Clostridia; Lachnospirales; Lachnospiraceae
Also listed under: 1 other name
Description: tRNA-Ile
Rfam family: tRNA
About the family: Transfer RNA (tRNA) molecules are approximately 80 nucleotides in length. Their secondary structure includes four short double-helical elements and three loops (D, anti-codon, and T loops).
Source: RNAcentral
GGAGGCUUAGCUCAGUUGGUUAGAGCAAUCGGCUCAUAACCGAUCGGUCCUGGGUUCGAGUCCCCGAGCCUCCA